This 2605-nucleotide ribosomal RNA is filed under the name Shigella sonnei. RNAcentral's name for it is "partial 23S ribosomal RNA". It matches the Rfam family "Bacterial large subunit ribosomal RNA", at positions 349 to 2925 of the family's 2925-position model. The record is from RNAcentral. Lineage: Bacteria; Pseudomonadati; Pseudomonadota; Gammaproteobacteria; Enterobacterales; Enterobacteriaceae.
GGCGUGCGAUACAGGGUGACAGCCCCGUACACAAAAAUGCACAUAUUGUGAGCUUGAUGAGUAGGGCGGGACACGUGGUAUCCUGUCUGAAUAUGGGGGGACCAUCCUCCAAGGCUAAAUACUCCUGACUGACCGAUAGUGAACCAGUACCGUGAGGGAAAGGCGAAAAGAACCCCGGCGAGGGGAGUGAAAAAGAACCUGAAACCGUGUACGUACAAGCAGUGGGAGCACGCUUAGGCGUGUGACUGCGUACCUUUUGUAUAAUGGGUCAGCGACUUAUAUUCUGUAGCAAGGUUAACCGAAUAGGGGAGCCGAAGGGAAACCGAGUCUUAACUGGGCGUUAAGUUGCAGGGUAUAGACCCGAAACCCGGUGAUCUAGCCAUGGGCAGGUUGAAGGUUGGGUAACACUAACUGGAGGACCGAACCGACUAAUGUUGAAAAAUUAGCGGAUGACUUGUGGCUGGGGGUGAAAGGCCAAUCAAACCGGGAGAUAGCUGGUUCUCCCCGAAAGCUAUUUAGGUAGCGCCUCGUGAAUUCAUCUCCGGGGGUAGAGCACUGUUUCGGCAAGGGGGUCAUCCCGACUUACCAACCCGAUGCAAACUGCGAAUACCGGAGAAUGUUAUCACGGGAGACACACGGCGGGUGCUAACGUCCGUCGUGAAGAGGGAAACAACCCAGACCGCCAGCUAAGGUCCCAAAGUCAUGGUUAAGUGGGAAACGAUGUGGGAAGGCCCAGACAGCCAGGAUGUUGGCUUAGAAGCAGCCAUCAUUUAAAGAAAGCGUAAUAGCUCACUGGUCGAGUCGGCCUGCGCGGAAGAUGUAACGGGGCUAAACCAUGCACCGAAGCUGCGGCAGCGACGCUUAUGCGUUGUUGGGUAGGGGAGCGUUCUGUAAGCCUGCGAAGGUGUGCUGUGAGGCAUGCUGGAGGUAUCAGAAGUGCGAAUGCUGACAUAAGUAACGAUAAAGCGGGUGAAAAGCCCGCUCGCCGGAAGACCAAGGGUUCCUGUCCAACGUUAAUCGGGGCAGGGUGAGUCGACCCCUAAGGCGAGGCCGAAAGGCGUAGUCGAUGGGAAACAGGUUAAUAUUCCUGUACUUGGUGUUACUGCGAAGGGGGGACGGAGAAGGCUAUGUUGGCCGGGCGACGGUUGUCCCGGUUUAAGCGUGUAGGCUGGUUUUCCAGGCAAAUCCGGAAAAUCAAGGCUGAGGCGUGAUGACGAGGCACUACGGUGCUGAAGCAACAAAUGCCCUGCUUCCAGGAAAAGCCUCUAAGCAUCAGGUAACAUCAAAUCGUACCCCAAACCGACACAGGUGGUCAGGUAGAGAAUACCAAGGCGCUUGAGAGAACUCGGGUGAAGGAACUAGGCAAAAUGGUGCCGUAACUUCGGGAGAAGGCACGCUGAUAUGUAGGUGAAGUCCCUUGCGGAUGGAGCUGAAAUCAGUCGAAGAUACCAGCUGGCUGCAACUGUUUAUUAAAAACACAGCACUGUGCAAACACGAAAGUGGACGUAUACGGUGUGACGCCUGCCCGGUGCCGGAAGGUUAAUUGAUGGGGUCAGCGCAAGCGAAGCUCUUGAUCGAAGCCCCGGUAAACGGCGGCCGUAACUAUAACGGUCCUAAGGUAGCGAAAUUCCUUGUCGGGUAAGUUCCGACCUGCACGAAUGGCGUAAUGAUGGCCAGGCUGUCUCCACCCGAGACUCAGUGAAAUUGAACUCGCUGUGAAGAUGCAGUGUACCCGCGGCAAGACGGAAAGACCCCGUGAACCUUUACUAUAGCUUGACACUGAACAUUGAGCCUUGAUGUGUAGGAUAGGUGGGAGGCUUUGAAGUGUGGACGCCAGUCUGCAUGGAGCCGGCCUUGAAAUACCACCCUUUAAUGUUUGAUGUUCUAACGUGGACCCGUGAUCCGGGUUGCGGACAGUGUCUGGUGGGUAGUUUGACUGGGGCGGUCUCCUCCUAAAGAGUAACGGAGGAGCACGAAGGUUGGCUAAUCCUGGUCGGACAUCAGGAGGUUAGUGCAAUGGCAUAAGCCAGCUUGACUGCGAGCGUGACGGCGCGAGCAGGUGCGAAAGCAGGUCAUAGUGAUCCGGUGGUUCUGAAUGGAAGGGCCAUCGCUCAACGGAUAAAAGGUACUCCGGGGAUAACAGGCUGAUACCGCCCAAGAGUUCAUAUCGACGGCGGUGUUUGGCACCUCGAUGUCGGCUCAUCACAUCCUGGGGCUGAAGUAGGUCCCAAGGGUAUGGCUGUUCGCCAUUUAAAGUGGUACGCGAGCUGGGUUUAGAACGUCGUGAGACAGUUCGGUCCCUAUCUGCCGUGGGCGCUGGAGAACUGAGGGGGGCUGCUCCUAGUACGAGAGGACCGGAGUGGACGCAUCACUGGUGUUCGGGUUGUCAUGCCAAUGGCACUGCCCGGUAGCUAAAUGCGGAAGAGAUAAGUGCUGAAAGCAUCUAAGCACGAAACUUGCCCCGAGAUGAGUUCUCCCUGACCCUUUAAGGGUCCUGAAGGAACGUUGAAGACGACGACGUUGAUAGGCCGGGUGUGUAAGCGCAGCGAUGCGUUGAGCUAACCGGUACUAAUGAACCGUGAGGCUUAACCUUACAACGCCGAAG